AGUGAACGCUGGCGGUAGGCCUAACACAUGCAAGUCGAACGGCAGCACAGUAAGAGCUUGCUCUUACGGGUGGCGAGUGGCGGACGGGUGAGGAAUACAUCGGAAUCUACUUUUUCGUGGGGGAUAACGUAGGGAAACUUACGCUAAUACCGCAUACGACCUACGGGUGAAAGCAGGGGAUCUUCGGACCUUGCGCGAUUGAAUGAGCCGAUGUCGGAUUAGCUAGUUGGCGGGGUAAAGGCCCACCAAGGCGACGAUCCGUAGCUGGUCUGAGAGGAUGGACAGCAACCAGGGAACGGAGACCCGGGCCAGGCCCCUACGGGAGGCAGGAGUGGGGAAUUUGGGAAAAGGGGGGAAAGCCUGAUCCAGCCACUCCGGGUGGGUGAAGAAGGCCUUCGGGUUGUAAAGCCUUUUUGUGGGGAAAAAAAAGCAGCAGGUUAAAACCCCCGUGUUUGAAGGGUACCCAAAAAAAAAGCACCGGCUAAUUUCGG
This 491-nucleotide ribosomal RNA is filed under the name uncultured bacterium. RNAcentral's name for it is "partial 16S ribosomal RNA". It matches the Rfam family "Bacterial small subunit ribosomal RNA", at positions 29 to 506 of the family's 1533-position model. The record is from RNAcentral.